Molecule: ribosomal RNA, 314 nt
Filed under: Biomphalaria peregrina
Lineage: Eukaryota; Metazoa; Mollusca; Gastropoda; Planorbidae
Description: partial 16S ribosomal RNA
Source: RNAcentral
UUUAAAUGGCCGCAGUACCCUGACUGUGCUAAGGUAGCAUAAUCAAUUGGCUUCUAAUUAGAGUCUGGAAUGAAAGGAAGCAUGAAAUAAUUCUGUCUUAAAAGAAAUUUUUUGAAUUUAUUUAAAUGAUGAAAAUAUCAUUUUUUAGAAAAAAGACGAGAAGACCCUUAGAGUUUUAACUAAUUUUAGUUUUUGUUGGGGCGACAAGUAAACAAUUAAACUUUAGUAAUUAAUUUGAAUAUAUCGAUUUUUUUUAAAAAUAAUUAAACUACCUUAGGGAUAACAGCAUUAUUUUUUAAAAUGAUUGUGACCUC